RNAcentral lists this transfer RNA (64 nucleotides) under Micrurus surinamensis. RNAcentral's name for it is "tRNA-Thr". Lineage: Eukaryota; Metazoa; Chordata; Lepidosauria; Squamata; Elapidae. The record is from RNAcentral.
GCCCUGGUAGCUUACACCCUAAAGCAUUGUUCUUGUAAACCAAAGAUGGUUUUCCCCCAGAGCA